Long non-coding RNA from Ctenopharyngodon idella (grass carp), 1734 nucleotides. RefSeq lists it as uncharacterized. The record is from RefSeq and is a predicted model, not a curated record. Lineage: Eukaryota; Metazoa; Chordata; Actinopteri; Cypriniformes; Xenocyprididae. The transcript is spliced from 5 exons.
AGUGCCUUUGAUGCCCAUAGAUUCAUAAACUAGCUCCACACCCACCAAACCAAUCAAAGCGUAGGGCGAUUCAUGAGCUGGACGAUCACUUGGGUCUGUCCUCAAGAAGUUAAAAAAGAAAUAACAUGCAGAAAAACAUCAUUUCGCGGUUUGUUAUGGACGUUAUCGAGCUAGAGUCGUUUGUAAACAGCCCUCCUCAUGGAUUCACUGCCGAGCGUCGCGCGGACUGCACACUCGUGAAGUGGGAUCAGGAGAAGAGCUGUGUGUUCAUCGAUGAAAUCCAGUCUAGCAAGGGAAAAGUGAUUUUCUGUAAUUCUCCAGGAAGGGAAAUCACAGUACGUACUUUGGGAGAGUACACAGAUUUGAGACGACAACUAACCUCAAAGACAAUAUACAUACUGGUGUCUGCAUGCAGCAAUAAGGUCGAAGAAAAGACAAACAGAGAAGUUCCAGCUUUUGGAUAUUACGUGGUGGCGAUCAAUGGCAGUCAUCCAAUGAUCAGAUGGGAGAUGGAGAGAGGUUUAGACCUGACUAUUUCAUCUGUUGCUGGAGAGAGCUAUACAGUUGAUGUUGAUGUUAGUGCUGCACUUCAGGGAUGGGUCGGUGAGAACAUUCAAAUCCUUGUUGAUGCAGAAAAGGUGAAACCCACUUGGAAAGACACGCAUUUUACCAUCAAGUACCGUUCUGACGCCCUUUUUGACUUUCCCUACUGGUUUGGCUUCAGCAAACGACAGUUCAAGAUCUCUUAUCAUGGGAGAUGAGGUCAACACCCAAAAUGUUGUAAUAUCUACUGAGAACUUCAGUCUGUGGAAUUGAAACCCACAGAUGAGGAGACCAUGAGCGCUAUGCAACUCAUUAAAGCACCUUAAAGGACUGUUUUACUGUAAAUAAAACUUUAUUUUGCUCAUGUUAGCAAUAAUACAUAAGAUCAUAAAGAAAUGGAGAUCAUAGGAAUUUAAUCUUAAUUUUAAUUCUGUUGAAGCAAGAAAGGUCAAUUUCAUAAAUCCUCACAAACUCAUGGUAGUUACAGUACUUUUUUAAAAUGGGUUACUUUAUGCAAAAGUGCCCAAACAGUAAGUACAUUCAUUGCUUUAAAUGGGUCAUAUCAUGAGGCAACAAAUUGCCCUUUAUCUUUUGGGAUAAUUAAAAACAAUCUGGAUAAUUCUGCAACUUUCUGAUGUCACACAUAGUAAAACGUCGCAUUACCCUCCAAGUUCACACAUUUCUUGUGCUGUUUCUGGCUGUGUGUAGCACCAACUGCUCUGCAUGUACUUCCAGGGUAUUGUUAGAAACUUGUGCAUAGGACCCUAGUAAUUUCAGUCUAAUCUUGACACAUUUCAGCAUUGAUUAUUUUAUAAUCCUGUUAUGUAAUGCAGACUUUGCAAAGAGGCUGUUGGUUUUGCUGAAAUAUAUUUCACACAACAGGAAAGCUUCAAUCCUGUGCAUGAGCAGAUUGUGGUACUUUUAAAGACACAGUAACAAAAGCUGACUGUUAAAUCUAAAAUUCAGAGAGAGAGAGAGAGAGAGAGAGGUGUGAAAAUGGUCAUGAAAAACUAAAAUAAACAAAACUAACCUUGUAAGUUGACCUCAGGGGAAAAAACCAAAUCAUUAUAUGACCCCUUUAAAACAUUUCAUCAAAUACCUUAUACUGGGAUAGUAUUAGUAAAAUUUUGUGUUGAUUUGUAAAUGUUUAUAAUAUAACAUUUUGCAAUUAAAUGCUUUUGUGACUAUCAA